CAAACGAAGAACGGAAAGAGAAAAGAAAAAAGAACCAAGGAGAAACGACAAUAUAUCAAGCCCCCCCAAACAAACGCAUCUGUCUGUCUCUUCAUGAACAAUCCUUUCCUCGUUC
This 115-nucleotide non-coding RNA is filed under the name Chromera velia. Lineage: Eukaryota; Chromeraceae. The record is from RNAcentral.